GUCAGAUGAGCAGCUGCACGGGUCGAUCUCAAGAAACUAAAAUAUUUAUUAAGAGGAAAAAGUUCAGAUUCAAAACAGUGAUUUAAAACAAAUUAUUGGAUUCCUGAAGUGAUGCGAUAACUUGGAAAAGCUGUCGCUAGAGUGAGGAGAGAGCAAAAUAGAGAAUUAGAACGGAGGCAGAUGCAGAAUCACAGAGCAUCAAAACACUGCGAAUGAACUUCUUCUUUUAAAUAAGAAGUUAAAAUGUAUGCUUUGGCUGGGUUUUUUUGUGAGAAUUUCGAACAUCUGUAAAGUUCUCCUGCUCCAUCUUGGACACGCGAGACAAUUAAGUGAAGGUGUAUACAAAAAGG
This is a non-coding RNA of Paramisgurnus dabryanus, 350 nucleotides long. The record is from RefSeq and is a predicted model, not a curated record. Lineage: Eukaryota; Metazoa; Chordata; Actinopteri; Cypriniformes; Cobitidae.